GGAAAGUUGCAAAGUACUUUGAAGAGAGAGUAAACAGUGCGUGAAACCGUUCAGAGGUAAACGGGUGGAGUUGAACUGCAAGCUCUGAGGAUUCAACUGGUGAGAUUGGCGUGAACUUGAUCACGUGGAUUGUGAGCUCGUGUCUGCUUAGCUGCAGGUCUUCGCCUCGGUGAGGAUGCGCGUCUAGCUUAUCAAGCUCUGCGCGCACGGGAAUUCUCGAAUCCGCUCGCCAGUGCACUUUCUCUGAGUGUUCACCACGACCGGCGUUGUCGUCCGGCUGGUGCGGUUAAACCGGCCUUGUAGGGUCCUUGUGGCCUUGCUUGGUCGGGAUGGCAGGUAGCCCGUUGUGUACUUCUGUGUGCUUCGGGUGUAAUAGCCGACUGCAUCGGUUCUGUGCGAUACGUCGGAGACGGCGGCUUGUUGUGCGUGCGGGCGUGCCUGUGUGCUGGCGGCUCUGAGUCUGGUUGCCUUGUUGCUUGUGAAUGCAGGCCGGGUGAUGGCUCGGGGUCGUUCGGUGUGCGGUUGCGUUCGUGGCACUUUGACAGGGCCAAUAGUCUGUGGUGUAGUGGUAGACUAUCCACCCGACCCGUCUUGAAACACGGACCAAGGAGAGUAACAUGUGCGCGAGUCAUUGGGCGUUACGAAACCCAAAGGCGCAGUGAAAGUAAAGGUUCGGCUUGUCCGGGCUGAGGUGAGAUCCUGUCGUUUCUCACGCGUGAUACUAUCAAGCAUCGAGCGGCAGGCGCAUCACCGGCCCGUCCCAUGACGUAGUGGCGGCUUCGGCUUGCUCAUCGUCGGGGCGGAGCAUGAGCGUACAUGUUGAGACCCGAAAGAUGGUGAACUAUGCUUGCGCAGGUUGAAGCCAGAGGAAACUCUGGUGGAGGACCGCAGCGAUUCUGACGUGCAAAUCGAUCGUCAAACGUGAGUAUAGGGGCGAAAGACUAAUCGAACCAUCUAGUAGCUGGUUCCCUCCGAAGUUUCCCUCAGGAUAGCUGA
RNAcentral lists this ribosomal RNA (996 nucleotides) under Rhopalias coronatus. RNAcentral describes it as "partial large subunit ribosomal RNA". It matches the Rfam family "Eukaryotic large subunit ribosomal RNA", at positions 358 to 985 of the family's 3401-position model. The record is from RNAcentral. Lineage: Eukaryota; Metazoa; Platyhelminthes; Trematoda; Plagiorchiida; Echinostomatidae.